GCUAAGUGUGGUGGCAGAUGCCUGUGAUCUCUGCUACUGGGUAGGCUGAGGCUGGUGGAUUACUGGAGCUUAGGAGCUCUGAGUUGCAGCAGAGCUAAAGCUGAAUGGGUGUCCACACUAAGUUGUACACUAAUAUAGGGGACCGCUGGAAAUAGGUGGCCACUUGGUUGCCUAAGGAGAGAAGAACUGGCCUACAUCAGAAAUGAAACAGGUCAAUCAACAGUGGGGCCCCAUGUGUGGCUGCUGUACUUCUAGCUUAGAAAAGAUAGGGAUGA
RNAcentral lists this non-coding RNA (275 nucleotides) under Phascolarctos cinereus (koala). Lineage: Eukaryota; Metazoa; Chordata; Mammalia; Diprotodontia; Phascolarctidae. The record is from RNAcentral.